This is a long non-coding RNA of Lycium barbarum (goji berry), 2091 nucleotides long. RefSeq lists it as uncharacterized. NCBI's taxonomy places the organism in Eukaryota, Viridiplantae, Streptophyta, Magnoliopsida, Solanales, Solanaceae. The record is from RefSeq and is a predicted model, not a curated record. The transcript is spliced from 2 exons.
UUCUCUUAUUCUUGAUAUAUUUAAAUUCAUUGAAAUCACAGCUAAAUCGUGGGACUAGUUUUAUAUCACGUGGUCAUGGUAAUGGGUAUAUGGAGUAUGUUAAAGGUGAUUUCUAUUUAAGUGAAUUGAGACAAGAAAUUAAUUAUGUGUGUAAUUGAUUAAAUGGGGAAUUCUAUUAGAAUAUUAGAAUUAAUUACGAUUUUUUUUGGGAUAAAUAUUAUAAUCCACAUGGAAGCUUGUUAAUUGGGAAGAUGGGGUUUUAAAUAUACGCAUGGAACAGAUGGGAUGAUAAUGGCUGUUGAGGUGUAAAGGUCCUAAAAGCCCCAUGCGUCAAAAGGAAUAGAGUGCAUGCGUAACCUUUUUAUUCCACUUUUGGAGAAUUCACUUUAUGGAACUAAGUACUGCAUAUAUUUAAAAAGGAGCACAACGUAGCAAUUCUUUCUUGGAAGCAAUCUUUCAAGGUAAGUCCGACAAAUUCCUAGACAAAAAAAAAUGGACAGUGACGUGAACUUCCAAAUCAACUAGCAAUGCCCUUCUUAAAUACACAGUAACAACCUUUCGUUUGUGCAACAUAGCAGCUAUUUUGUCCUAAUAAAUAUCAAGUCAAGUUCAAUUCCAUUGACGUGAUGAUACUAAUAUCAAUUUCCUCCGGUGCUGGCAAAUUGAAGAAUUUUUCGAAGUGAAGUAAAGUGGAAAAAGAAUACUUCUUGGUAUAUAAGGCUAAAAGAGCGACGAGACGAACGGGUUACGAAUAGCCGCUAACAGGUAUGUAAAGCGCAACCCUUCUUUCUUUUGGCAUGCCUUAGUUUUCAAUAGGCUAUAUCACGAGCCUCGAGGAAAUUCCAAAUUCGAAAUCCGAGCACGUUAUGAUCCUUAUAUAUAUUUCUUGGCAUUCUUAUGUAUGUUGUGAUGAAGUAUGAACCAUUAUGUCUUCGAAAGCAUUGAUUUCCAAACUUUGUACAAAAAGUUGUUUUAAAGAAUUCCGUAACUACGAAAUGCCAUAUCUUUCGCAUAAAGGCUCGGAUUGCUCCAAUAUUUUUAUAGGAGUUUGCAUGAUGUAUAAUGAGUAUGUUUUCCAUAGGCGGGCCCGUCUCGGGUCAAUACCCGUCCGUGGGUCCCGCGACUUUCCUUUAUGUAAUUCGGACGACUUUUGAAAGAAUUUGGUAUGAUUAUCAUUUCGAAUUUCAAGUAUGGUCAUUUACUUAUAUUUGAGUCUAUGAUAAUGAUUUUAUGCAUAUGGUUACUCAUGACUCUACUCGUGCGUUUUGUUAUAUCUUUCGCCGGUUCCCGGGCCGGUUCUGUUAUCGUGCGCACUUUGAUAUACUCCGGAGUUAUGCUGUGUUUAUGGUUCAUCGAGCUACUCGCAAAAGAGGGUCGGGUUCCACCUAUAUUUGGUGUUAUGCUGUGUAUGGCGUUAUGUUGUGAUGUGAUAUGUGACGGGGAUACGGAGAUUUGAAACUUUCUGGUGUUAUGCUGUGUUAUGGCGCCAUCGACGGGUGGGCGACCAUAUUCUUCUGUACCCUAUGCAUUACUUACAUAUUUUUGAAAGUAAGCAAAUUUUGAUAUGUUGGAUUUGCACUUAUGUUUGGUACUUCCAUUUCGUUUAUGUCUCAGAUUUGCUUUCUGUAUAUUCUGCUUUGCAUACUCAGUACAUAUUUCGUACUGACCCCCUUUCUUCGGGGGGCUGCGUUUCAUGCCCGCAGGUACAGACGCACAGUUUGGUGAUCUACCCAUUUAGGACACCCUCUUCUGCUGUUUGGAGUGCUCUUCUCAUUUCAGAGCACACAUUUUGGUAUAUAUUCGUUCGCUAUGUAUAUAUGUAUUUGUUCAGGGGCACGGCGGGGCCCUGUCCCGCCAUAUGAUUCGGUUUGUCUAUUUAGAGGUCUGUAGACGUAUUUGUGGGUGUGUGUGUGCCUACUUCUGUACAGAUGUGUUUGUAUGACCCCAUUCGUUAUAGCAGCCUUGUCGGCGUGCACUUUGUAUAUGUUUUGGGCCGUUGCGCCAUCUGUUAGCCUUGUCGGCUUUUGAUACAUUUGAUAGCCUUGCCGGCUUUUUGAUAUAUAUAUAUGUCCGCAUAUGGUUGCGUUGAAA